UUGUGUUCAGUUUGUGUUCAGUUUGUGUUCUGAAUCGUGUCCUAGUGCUUUUAUUCUGCACUUCCGGCUUUGUUUCUGUUCAUCAGAGCAAGUGGUUAUAGUUUAUCGUCCAGCCAUGCAGUCCUGCAGCGUUCACCACUGUGUCCUGCUCUUACUCACCCUCACAUUCACCACUGCAUAACCAACCUACAUGAAACUACAUUGCUUCUUUUAAUCGCACGCAGAUGCAAACAUCUACAGCCUUCAAGGUGACCACUGUCUGUCAACGUUCAUUCUGACUUCCUGCCCCAUUCUGACUUCCUUCCCCAUUCUGACUUCCUGCCACAAUCUGACUUCCUGCCCCAUUCUGAUCCCCUUCACGUGCACCUGCAUGUUCAGUAUUUCUGUGUCUGCUGAGAUUAUAACGUUUGGAACGGGUUACUGUGGGACACAAAUAUCUCCCUGAUGUUAAAUAUAUCUAGUAUAAUGUUCUAGCUGAGUGAAGCACACGCUGAUCCACUUUAUUUCACAUUAAUGAUCUCAAAAUGUUCUCCAUUUCCACUGUACACCUGCAGCCUGAACUUGUGAGGUUGAGAAAUAACGUUGAAAUAUUACCUGAUGAAUAAUGAAGAUGGGAUUUUAACAGCUGAAUAUUUUGGAACUGUAUUUUAGGAAGGUGAGUGUGUGUGUGUGUGUGUGUGUGUGUGUGUGUGUGUGUGUGUGUGUGUGUGUGUUGAAUUACGAAUGCUGGAAUUUUAUUUUCAAUCAAAAUAAACAAACCUAAUGAGCUGCAGAGGAAACUAAUUCAAGUAUUAUUACGAUAUGUUUUUAUUCAGUUUAUGUAAUUCAACAUGCCGUUUUGCCUUGAGGACAUGUGGCACUGUUAUACUUCCAUAAUUUGUAGGAUUUAUAUGAAAUGAUCUUCGUAACCAGCAGAUGAACUGAUUCGGUUCAGAUUAGAGAGAUCAGAAAACAGCUGCACAGAUCAUUCCACAGUCACAUGUCCAUGUGCUCCUCUGAGGUUCCUCUGUGGUUCCUGGGGAGAGAACACUGCUCUUUUGGUGGAGUUUUGAGAGAGGACCUGUACUAGCGUACUCUGAUGGGUUUUGUGGAGCUCCUACACUAAAUGUUGUGAUGCAGAUGUGCUUCUAGAAUAUCAUGUGUAAUAAAUAUCAGGGGAUAUGGUGUCAGUGGAACAUCAUGUACAGCUGAUUAAACUGGUCCAUACCACUGCAGACUGGUAGAUCGAGUAGAUAUAGGAGUGAUGGAGAGAAGAUGGCCUGAGCCAGUGUUAGUGGGAUAGACUCCGGAUCCACCACAACCCUGACCAGGAAGUUCUCUAGUCCUGAUUAAUAUGGAUUCAUAUGAUUCAGUCUUUUUCUUCUGUAAUUCCACCAUAAAACUCUCCUGUUUACUUUGUGUCCUGAUCUAUAAACACCAUUUUAAUCUGAUUCCCUAAAAUCACCUAGAAAUAAAUCUAGAUUCCAAAUAACAACACUAUUAGAUUCUCAGCUAUUUAAUAAAACACAUUUAUAUCCAGAGUUAUUAAAUCAGUACAAUAUUCCACUUAAACACACUUUGCUGUGCUGAUUAAAGAUGUCAGGAUUAGUUUUAAGAGUGAAGAUCCGCGACGUCAUGACGCAAGGAACGCCCAUCGUACUGCGUAAAGGGGAGUGACGGGACACGGACAUGUUGGAGUCUCGCGAUAACAGGCUAGUGCUGCUGUUGUCCCUCUUCCUCGAUAACGACGUCUAAAUCUGUUUUUUAUUUCAUUUUUAGUGAUUUUAACUCUGCGAUUGGAAAGUUGAUGUAUUUUGUUUUUCUUAACAAAGUAUUUUAUUAUCGACAUCACAGUUAUUGUAUAGUUAUUAGAGAUUAGAGCCGGUGUUUGUGUUCUCUAAGUUUCGAGCUAGCGGAACUAACGGAGCUGCUGUGUGUGACCACUGCUGGAGAUCUGUUAUUAUUAUUAUUAUCAUUAUUAUUAUUUCCGACAUGUGGAGCUACACACUGCUGUUUGUGCUGCAGAUCUUCACCUUUGCCCCCACUGUGUCCGGUGAUGGUUCUGUAACGGCCAAACUUCAUCACCCCGUUACCCUCACCUGUAACUCCAGAUGUUCUGGUGUACUCGAAUGGAGCAAGUUUCGAACCAUUGUGGCUCGGUGUGAUCAGACCUCCUGCAGGCCAGAGAAGGGAUUUAACAUCUCUCAUGAUCAGUACCUGAAGGGGAAUCCACAUCUCACCAUCACUGCAGCUGAUUACAGUGCGAGAGGAUUGUACACGUGUCUGUGUAACGGUACAGACAUCUGUAAAGUGCGUCUCCUCAUCGAGCCUCUAGAGAUGACCCGUGUGAUUGCCCCAGGCGAGCCCAUAGACGUGCUCUUACCCCUCACUGACCUGGUGGAUGUGAGUUUUACUUCCAGUGAUGCUGUACAACCAUCAAACCUGCAGAUCUGCAGCGUGGACAAGGAGAAGAUCCAGUGCAGUCCAGAUUAUAAAGAGAGAGCGUCUCUCCUCAACACUCUUCAGAUUAAAGAUGGAGACGUCUCUGACAGUGGGAACUACACAGUACAGGAUAUAGUGAAUGACGAGACUUUAGCCAUCGUAACGGUCCAUAUGAGAGGUGAACGCGUGUCCCAGACUCGCACUCGAAGACACCGCAGUGCCCCUGGUACGUCUAUAAAUAUAUAUAUAUGAUAUUGUCUGUCCUGCAGAUUCCUCUGUUUCUUCUGUAUAUUUAGUUUUAUAUUUAUUAAAAAGAUCUGACGCUCAACUCCACACUAAACUAAAUAAUAAACUCCUGCAGAAACAGGCUUAAAACACACACACACACACACACACACACACACACACACACACACACACACACACACACAAACACACACACACACA
Long non-coding RNA from Ictalurus punctatus (channel catfish), 2868 nucleotides. NCBI's taxonomy places the organism in Eukaryota, Metazoa, Chordata, Actinopteri, Siluriformes, Ictaluridae. The record is from Ensembl.